UUUUGCUUUAAAUUUCUUUGGACAGCCGCUGGGUUUUGGUGAAAGAAGGAGCUCCGGCGAGCCCUCCCUCCGUCGAAGGGUCGUGUCCAGCCCUCCCUCUAGCGAAGGUUCGUCUUCAAUGGUUGUAAACGUCAAGCACUCGAGUGGCACCCGCCACCCGCCACCCGCCACCCACCAGCCCUUACCGUCUUCUCCAGAGGAGUCUUCAAAUCCGACGAGCAAUAUAGAGAUUAGAGACUACAGAAACGAGGAGUGGCUAAAUUACGAAGAUCUGAACUCUGCUGCUGCUACUUCUACUUCUUCUGUUCUUGAUCUGCUUAGGAUCUAUGGCCAUGGGGAGUUGUUGUUACUUUGAAGAUUCGAGAACUAAGAAGAAGAAGAAGAAGAUGUUAUCGGGAAGAAGCCUCUGUGAUCGUUAUAAGGAAGAAGCUCUGCCUCUGUGACCUAAAAAUCGUCAACUAGGAAAUUACUGGACUGCCCCCUCAUCAUCACUCGUUUUUCUACUCUGCUGCUCCAGAGUAGAAUAGAAAACUCAAAUUGAAUCAUAGAAAGGGAAGAAAAACGGAGUUUCUUAAUCUUCCAUCAAUGUCGAUCUGUAGCGUUUCUUUCUUUUUCCCUCUUUUUUCUUGGUGUCUUUCCCUUAAUGAGUUUUUGGGAUGAUUUCAGAACAAAUUAACCAUCCUAAUUGCUCUAUAUAGCAGCUUUUCUAAGAUCAUCCAUGAUGCCCUAAAAUAGAGUCUCUGGAAGCUAACAAAUCAGUUAAUUAAAGUUGUCUAUAACCAUUGUUUAACUCAAAGAUGAAGAGGAAGUUGGCAUUUUUCUUCCA
Molecule: long non-coding RNA, 826 nt
Organism: Macadamia integrifolia
Lineage: Eukaryota; Viridiplantae; Streptophyta; Magnoliopsida; Proteales; Proteaceae
Exons: 2
Source: RefSeq, a predicted model, not a curated record